Molecule: transfer RNA, 67 nt
Filed under: Cricetulus griseus (Chinese hamster)
Lineage: Eukaryota; Metazoa; Chordata; Mammalia; Rodentia; Cricetidae
Rfam family: tRNA
About the family: Transfer RNA (tRNA) molecules are approximately 80 nucleotides in length. Their secondary structure includes four short double-helical elements and three loops (D, anti-codon, and T loops).
Source: Rfam by way of RNAcentral
AGGUGGCUCAGCGGUUAAGAGCACUGGCUGUUCUUCCAGAGGUCCUGAGUUCAAUUCCCAGCACCUA